AUGUUGAACUUGUCAUGCAGCAUAGGCAUGAGGGAUUGGAGCUUGAAAGAUGAUCAACUAAGGUAGUUAUAUAUUAAUGGAAUGUGGAGGAAGGUACUUCCCUGACUCAAUUAGAUUAAAUUAUAGCAAAAAUAUGCACAAAUGGAAAGAAGAACAUAAGAAGUUACAGAGGAAGAAAACAAGAAAUUAAGAGGAAGCUAAAGAUGAGAUACCAUUCCAAAUUAGGUUAUGUCCUUCAAUCAUCUUCUCCAACCCCAA
This 258-nucleotide long non-coding RNA is filed under the name Elaeis guineensis (African oil palm). RNAcentral describes it as "long non-coding RNA (EGUI_LNC025034)". Lineage: Eukaryota; Viridiplantae; Streptophyta; Magnoliopsida; Arecales; Arecaceae. The record is from RNAcentral.